Molecule: ribosomal RNA, 253 nt
Filed under: uncultured bacterium
Lineage: Bacteria
Description: partial 16S ribosomal RNA
Rfam family: Bacterial small subunit ribosomal RNA
Source: RNAcentral
UACGUAGGGUGCGAGCGUUGUCCGGAAUUACUGGGCGUAAAGAGCUCGUAGGUGGUUUGUCGCGUUGUCCGUGAAAACUCACAGCUUAACUGUGGGCGUGCGGGCGAUACGGGCAGACUGGAGUACUGCAGGGGAGACUGGAAUUCCUGGUGUAGCGGUGGAAUGCGCAGAUAUCAGGAGGAACACCGGUGGCGAAGGCGGGUCUCUGGGCCGAAACUGACGCUGAGGAGCGAAAGCGUGGGGAGCAAACAGG